CCAGACUCCUACGGGAGGCCGCAGUGGGGAAUAUUGCACAAUGGGCGCAAGCCUGAUGCAGCCAUGCCGCGUGUAUGAAGAAGGCCUUCGGGUUGUAAAGUACUUUCAGUCGGGAGGAAGGUGUCAAGGUUAAUAACCUUGGCAAUUGACGUUACCGACAGAAGAAGCACCGGCUAACUCCGUGCCAGCAGCCGCGGUAAUACGGAGGGUGCAAGCGUUAAUCGGAAUUACUGGGCGUAAAGCGCACGCAGGCGGUCUGUCAAGUCGGAUGUGAAAUCCCCGGGCUCAACCUGGGAACUGCAUUCGAAACUGGCAGGCUGGAGUCUUGUAGAGGGGGGUAGAAUUCCAGGUGUAGCGGUGAAAUGCGUAGAGAUCUGGAGGAAUACCGGUGGCGAAGGCGGCCCCCUGGACAAAGACUGACGCUCAGGUGCGAAAGCGUGGGGAGCAAACAGGAUUAGAUACCCCCGUAUU
RNAcentral lists this ribosomal RNA (471 nucleotides) under uncultured bacterium. Its description in RNAcentral is "bacterial SSU rRNA". It matches the Rfam family "Bacterial small subunit ribosomal RNA", at positions 331 to 794 of the family's 1533-position model. The record is from RNAcentral.